This 65-nucleotide transfer RNA is filed under the name Kikihia nelsonensis. RNAcentral describes it as "tRNA-Leu". Lineage: Eukaryota; Metazoa; Arthropoda; Insecta; Hemiptera; Cicadidae. The record is from RNAcentral.
UCUAAUAUGGCAGAUUAGUGCAAUGAAUUUAAGAUUCAUAUAUAAAAUAUUUUUUUUUAUUGGAA